UACGUAGGGUGCAAGCGUUGUCCGGAAUUAUUGGGCGUAAAGAGCUCGUAGGCGGUUUGUCGCGUCUGCUGUGAAAAUCCGAGGCUCAACCUCGGACCUGCAGUGGGUACGGGCAAGCUAGAGUGCGGUAGGGGAGAUGGGAAUUCCUGGUGUAGCGGUGGAAUGCGCAGAUAUCAGGAGGAACACCAAUGGCGAAGGCACAUCUCUGGGCCGUAACUGACGCUGAGGAGCGAAAGCGUGGGGAGCGAACAGG
This 253-nucleotide ribosomal RNA is filed under the name uncultured bacterium. Its description in RNAcentral is "partial 16S ribosomal RNA". It matches the Rfam family "Bacterial small subunit ribosomal RNA", at positions 524 to 776 of the family's 1533-position model. The record is from RNAcentral.